Molecule: ribosomal RNA, 301 nt
Filed under: uncultured bacterium
Lineage: Bacteria
Description: partial 16S ribosomal RNA
Rfam family: Bacterial small subunit ribosomal RNA
Source: RNAcentral
CAGUCGCCACGGGAAUACGUAGGUGGCAAGCGUUGUCCGGAUUUAUUGGGCGUAAAGCGAGCGCAGGCGGUCAAUUAAGUCUGAUGUGAAAGCCCCCGGCUCAACCGGGGAGGGUCAUUGGAAACUGGUUGACUUGAGUGCAGAAGAGGAGAGUGGAAUUCCAUGCGUAGCGGUGAAAUGCGUAGAUAUAUGGAGGAACACCAGUGGCGAAGGCGACUCUCAGGUCUGUAACUGACGCUGAGGCUCGAAAGCGUGGGUAGCAAACAGGAUUAGAUACCCCAGUAGUCCCUGUCUCUUAUAC